CCUACGGGAGGCAGCAGUGAGGAAUAUUGGUCAAUGGGCGUAAGCCUGAACCAGCCAAGUCGCGUGAGGGAUGAAGGUUCUAUGGAUCGAAAACCUCUUUUAUAAGGGAAUAAAGUGCGGGACGUGUCCCGUUUUGUAUGUACCUUAUGAAUAAGGAUCGGCUAACUACGUGCCAGCAGCCGCUGUAAUACGGAGGAUCCGAGCGUUAUCCGGAUUUAGUGGGUUUAAAGGGUGCGUAGGCGGCCUUUUAAGUCAGCGGUGAAAGUCUGUGGCUCAACCAUAGAAUUGCCGUUGAAACUGGGAGUCUUGAGUAUGUUUGAGGCAGGCGGAAUGCGUGGUGUAGCGGUGAAAUGCUUAGAUAUCACGCAGAACCCCGAUUGCGAAGGCAGCCUGCCAAGCCAUGACUGACGCUGAUGCACGAAAGCGUGGGGAUCAAACAGGAUUAGAUACCCUGGUAGUC
This 460-nucleotide ribosomal RNA is filed under the name uncultured bacterium. RNAcentral's name for it is "partial 16S ribosomal RNA". It matches the Rfam family "Bacterial small subunit ribosomal RNA", at positions 338 to 795 of the family's 1533-position model. The record is from RNAcentral.